RNAcentral lists this unclassified non-coding RNA (1082 nucleotides) under Leishmania donovani. Its description in RNAcentral is "gene:unknown". The record is from RNAcentral. Lineage: Eukaryota; Euglenozoa; Kinetoplastea; Trypanosomatida; Trypanosomatidae.
AGAGAGGUGCGUGGUGUGCGCGUGUGCGUGCCCCUCUUGUCGCUCUCCGCACCCCCCCCCUCUCCUGUGCGAGUGUGUGCUGGUGGAGGCGGCUGACUGAGGCGACGGCGCAGGCAAGGGCAGCAGCCAAGCAUACACGGAAACACACCUAUACACUUACUCACAUAUACCCCUAUCCACGCUGGCAGGGCGCUGCAGCCGAAGGAGGACAGCAGAAUAUGCGUUGGAGCGGAGCAGAGGCGGGGCUGCUUUCCUGCUCGCUCCUCUGGCGUCUGGCUCGAGUCCGUCUGCGUGUGCGCCCCCUGUGUCGCUGUGUCUCCUCGCCUCUCUCCUGCGCGAUUUGUGUCGAUGGCUUCGUUGCUGACGCACCCCACCGAGUCCUCCGGGCUCCGCCGUGGGAAGUCACCACGCCGCAUGUUAAGGCACACAGGGCCCUGACCUGGGGCUGUGCAACGUUCUCCCUGGGCUCGUGCGGCACGUAGAGCCACCACUCCCCACGAACGCCCUGCUACCCUUUGUUACCCCCUCCCCACCGACAGACGCCACCGCCUCCGCCGUGGAGAGCGGGACCGUGAGGCCGGCAGCGCUCGCAUGACGGCGUGCGGCGCCGCUGAGGCAUGCGCGUAGGGGAACGGGGAGGGACGGGGCAGGACAGGCCGAGCCCGUUAGGCGCAUGACCCGGUGCAGUGGCAGGACGGCUCGUCCUCGACGACGCGGAUGUGGCUGCCGUCCCACAGGGCGUAGGGGUGCACGGUGGCUGUACGCGCGCAUCUGCCGGCUUGUGCGUGGUGGCGUGGAGGCGGUAAAAAGCGGGUGCAUGUCUCCCGUAUUCAGACGGCAGGUACAUGGAUGCGACUGAACGACGAGUGCAUAUGUAUUUCCAUCUAUAUCUGUGUGUGUGCGCACCAAGACCACCGCCUAACGCCUCACAUGACGUUGUCCUCGCCUGACAGGGCGGAGGGCGUUUGCUUCUCCCUUCUCUCUUGCUUGUGCUUUGUUUUUGUGCUUCGUGACGCGCCUUCCUGCGCGCGUGCCUCAUCGCUCUCAUGCUUGCCUCCCUUUUCCGACUCCCUCACCCCGAC